RNAcentral lists this transfer RNA (69 nucleotides) under Myotis brandtii (Brandt's bat). It matches the Rfam family "tRNA". From Rfam's summary of the family: Transfer RNA (tRNA) molecules are approximately 80 nucleotides in length. The record is from Rfam by way of RNAcentral. Lineage: Eukaryota; Metazoa; Chordata; Mammalia; Chiroptera; Vespertilionidae.
GCCGGUUUGGCUCAGUGGAUAGAGCGUCUGGUUGGCGACCGCUGUUCCAAAGGUUCCCUUAAACCAGCA